AGUGAACGCUGGCGGUAGGCUUAACACAUGCCAGUCGAACGGCAGCACAGUAAGAGCUUGCUCUUACGGGUGUCGAGUGGCGGACGGGUGAGGAAUACAUCGGAAUCUACUUUUUCGUGGGGGAUGACGUAGGGAAACUUACGCUAAUACCGCAUACGACCUACGGUUGAAAGCAGGCAACCUUUGGACCUUGCGCGAUUGAAUGAGCCGAUGUCGGUUUAGCUAGUUGGCGGGGUAAAGGCCCACCAAGGCGACGAUCCGUAGCCGGUCUGAGAGGGAGAAUCGACAGACUGGAAGUGAGACACAGUCCCGACUCCUGCGGGAGGCAGCAGUGGGGAAUAUUGGGCGAGGGGCGCGAGCCUGAUCCAGCCAUACCGCGUGGGUGAAGAAGGCCUUCGGGUUGUAAAGCGCUUUUGUUGGGAAAGAAAAGCAGCAGGUUAAUAACGCGCUGUUCUGACGGUACCCAAAGAAUAAGCACCGGCUAACUUCGUG
Molecule: ribosomal RNA, 492 nt
Filed under: uncultured bacterium
Lineage: Bacteria
Description: partial 16S ribosomal RNA
Rfam family: Bacterial small subunit ribosomal RNA
Source: RNAcentral